Molecule: ribosomal RNA, 523 nt
Filed under: uncultured bacterium
Lineage: Bacteria
Description: bacterial SSU rRNA
Rfam family: Bacterial small subunit ribosomal RNA
Source: RNAcentral
AAUAGAUACCCUGGUAGUCCACGCCGUAAACGAUGAGUGCUAAGUGUUAGAGGGUUUCCGCCCUUUAGUGCUGUAGCAAACGCAUUAAGCACUCCGCCUGGGGAGUACGGUCGCAAGACUGAAACUCAAAGGAAUUGACGGGGGCCCGCACAAGCGGUGGAGCAUGUGGUUUAAUUCGAAGCAACGCGAAGAACCUUACCAGGUCUUGACAUCCUCUGACAACCCUAGAGAUAGGGCUUCCCCUUCGGGGGCAGAGUGACAGGUGGUGCAUGGUUGUCGUCAGCUCGUGUCAUGAGAUGUUGGGUUAAGUCCCGCAACGAGCGCAACCCUUGAUCUUAGUUGCCAGCAUUCAGUUGGGCACUCUAAGGUGACUGCCGGUGACAAACCGGAGGAAGGUGGGGAUGACGUCAAAUCAUCAUGCCCCUUAUGACCUGGGCUACACACGUGCUACAAUGGGCAGAACAAAGGGCAGCGAAGCCGCGAGGCUAAGCCAAUCCCACAAAUCUGUUCUCAGUUCGGAUCG